AAAGAUAUAGCAUAUUCUUCUGAAUAUACUUUAUUAACCCAUUCCGAGUACCUUACCCGUUGCUUCCGCGAGGCUGUCCUCACGGCCCUCUGAAGAUUUAUCUUUGGGAGUCCUUGCGGAAGGUAUACAAUAAACUCUUGCAUUACCAUGUCAUCUUGUCUGAAUCUGUUUAAAACAAAUAUUA
This 184-nucleotide unclassified non-coding RNA is filed under the name soil metagenome. Its description in RNAcentral is "partial internal transcribed spacer 1". The record is from RNAcentral.